This 343-nucleotide ribosomal RNA is filed under the name uncultured Bacillota bacterium. RNAcentral's name for it is "bacterial SSU rRNA". It matches the Rfam family "Bacterial small subunit ribosomal RNA", at positions 28 to 351 of the family's 1533-position model. The record is from RNAcentral. Lineage: Bacteria; Bacillati; Bacillota.
GAUGAACGCUGGCGGCGUGCCUAACACAUGCAAGUCGAGCGAGAUUUAGUGUAGUGGAGACUUCGGUCAAAGUGAAACUAAUGAAAGCGGCGGACGGGUGAGUAACGCGUGGGCAACCUGCCCCAUACAAAGGGAUAGCCACUGGAAACGGUGAUUAAUACCUUAUAAGUCGGUAGUCUCGCAUGAGACAGCCGACAAAGAUUUAUCGGUAUGGGAUGGGGCCCGCGUUUGAUUAGCUAGUUGGUGAGGUAACGGCUCACCAAGGCGACGAUCAAUAGCCGACCUGAGAGGGUGAUCGGCCACACUGGAACUGAGACACGGUCCAGACUCCUACGGGAGGCAG